GAUGAACGCUAGCGGCAGGCUUAAUACAUGCAAGUCGAGGGGCAGCACGAAUAGCAAUAUUUGGUGGCGACCGGCGCACGGGUGCGUAACACGUAUACAACCUACCUAUAACAGGGGGAUAGCCUUUCGAAAGAGAGAUUAAUACCCCGUAAUAAAUUGAGUGGCAUCACUUGAUUUUGAAAGCUACGGCGGUUAUAGAUGGGUAUGCGUCUGAUUAGCUAGUUGGUGAGGUAACGGCUCACCAAGGCGACGAUCAGUAGGGGAUCUGAGAGGACUAACCCCCACACUGGUACUGAGACACGGACCAGACUCCUACGGGAGGCAGCAGUAAGGAUAUUGGUCAAUGGAGGCAACUCUGAACCAGCCAUGCCGCGUGCGGGAUGACGGCCCUAUGGGUUGUAAACUGCUUUUGUACCAGAGAAAACCUACUCACGUGUGAGUAGCUGAUAGUAUGGUAAGAAUAAGCAUCGGCUAACUUCGUGCCAGCA
This 488-nucleotide ribosomal RNA is filed under the name uncultured bacterium. RNAcentral describes it as "bacterial SSU rRNA". It matches the Rfam family "Bacterial small subunit ribosomal RNA", at positions 28 to 513 of the family's 1533-position model. The record is from RNAcentral.